This 601-nucleotide long non-coding RNA is filed under the name Mytilus galloprovincialis (Mediterranean mussel). The record is from RNAcentral. Lineage: Eukaryota; Metazoa; Mollusca; Bivalvia; Mytilida; Mytilidae.
AUUUUUGCAUAGUUUUGAAAAGAAAUAUAUAGCGUUACCUGCACUAUGCGAAAAUAGUAUGCCUUCCUGUUGCAACAGACUAUUGAUUUUCACGUCAAUCAUUGUCAAUUUCACGUGCAAAGGCGGACCUAAGUUGCUUUGACAAACAAGUGGGUUGGAUUUAUUAGCCUGACAAUUAAUUAACUAUUACAAUUGAACAAUAAGGGGGAAAUAGUCGAUACCAUUUAAAAUCUGACAUUUUAAGAGACUUUAAAAUACUCUAGUUUCUGUUAGAACGUUUUUGUUUACUUCUGUUUACUGCCGUUGAAGCCAAAAUUGUUUGAAUACUUUAGAAGUCAUUUGUUGCAGAUAAAUAGUUAUGACCACAUCACUGUUUUUUUUGUAAGUUAUUGCAUACUAAGGAAAGUGUUAAUGAGGAUGAAAUGGAAGGGGUAUGGAGUAAACCUUGUUAAGACAAAAUCCAAAACAAAUACGGGCAAUCAAAGCUAUGACACGAUGCCUUUUUGGUACUUCUUCAUCUUGAAGUCAACAUGACUUCAUGCCUUCCACAAGAGCAAAAUAAAGGUACCUCAUAGCAAGUUUAAGACAACCUUUAGCACCA